This 253-nucleotide ribosomal RNA is filed under the name uncultured bacterium. Its description in RNAcentral is "partial 16S ribosomal RNA". It matches the Rfam family "Bacterial small subunit ribosomal RNA", at positions 524 to 776 of the family's 1533-position model. The record is from RNAcentral.
UACGUAGGGCGCAAGCGUUAUCCGGAAUUAUUGGGCGUAAAGAGCUCGUAGGCGGUUUGUCGCGUCUGCCGUGAAAGUCCGGGGCUCAACUCCGGAUCUGCGGUGGGUACGGGCAGACUAGAGUGAUGUAGGGGCGAAUGGAAUUCCCGGUGUAGUGGUGAAAUGCGUAGAUAUCGGGAGGAACACCAGUGGCGAAGGCGACUUCCUGGCCUGUUCUUGACGCUGAGGCGCGAAAGCUAGGGGAGCAAACGGG